Molecule: non-coding RNA, 360 nt
Organism: Ciona intestinalis (vase tunicate)
Lineage: Eukaryota; Metazoa; Chordata; Ascidiacea; Phlebobranchia; Cionidae
Source: RefSeq, a predicted model, not a curated record
UUGUGGAGAACAGUAUAAAUAUAGGGCCGUAUCUUGCUUAGACUUCACAAGUUAAUCAACUACAACAAGAUGGAUCAAAGACUUCUCACCAUUCUACUCAUCGGACUCGUCUGCUUCGUCAAGCAAGGAGAGAGCCAUGGUUAUUACUACGACCAAAAUAGCGAGAAGCCGAUGCAAAAGUCAGCAAAAGAUUUCUGGCACCAUGGAAAUUAUUACGAUAACUACUACUACGAUAACGACUUGGAAAACAUGAUGAGUAACAUGCCGGUGGAAGACCAUGGCUACUACUAUUAAAGUAGAUGAACCGUAUGUUGCCAUUACAGUUGAGCAAUACAACAAAAUAAAAUAAUAUUCCAAAUA